AAGUCGUAACAAGGUUUCCGUAGGUGAACCUGCGGAAGGAUCAUUACCAAUUCGAAUUGGCGUGUUGUUGGGGGUGAGGCUGGGGGCUUUUUAAGCUUCCGCACACCACCAAACGCACGCCAAACUCUACCAACCUUUGAUUGUGAACCAUGAGAUUCCAACACAUAGUCUUCCCGUUUUUUGCUUUGCAAAAAGCGGGGAGCAAUUUUAUCCAACCCCAAUUUCACUCUUCACACCACCACCACGCGUGUGUGUGUGGGGGGGACAAAAGCAAGCGUUGAGCUCCGAAAGCAAAAAAAACAGAAUGUCAUGUACAACUUUUAACGGCGGAUCUCUUGGCUCGU
RNAcentral lists this unclassified non-coding RNA (344 nucleotides) under fungal sp. Its description in RNAcentral is "partial internal transcribed spacer region". The stretch from base 1 to 46 matches the Rfam family "Eukaryotic small subunit ribosomal RNA", at positions 1786 to 1831 of the family's 1831-position model. The record is from RNAcentral. Lineage: Eukaryota; Fungi.